GUUCCUGUAGUUAAAGUUCAAUAACGGUGGCUUUUCAGGCCACAAGUCUCGGAGAGAAGCCGGGUAGGAAUUU
RNAcentral lists this transfer RNA (73 nucleotides) under Prunella strophiata (rufous-breasted accentor). RNAcentral describes it as "tRNA-Glu". The record is from RNAcentral. Lineage: Eukaryota; Metazoa; Chordata; Aves; Passeriformes; Prunellidae.